Panthera uncia (snow leopard) is the source of this 604-nucleotide long non-coding RNA. RefSeq lists it as uncharacterized. The record is from RefSeq and is a predicted model, not a curated record. The transcript is spliced from 2 exons. Lineage: Eukaryota; Metazoa; Chordata; Mammalia; Carnivora; Felidae.
GGCACCUUUCGUACCUGGAGCUUGUUUUAUCGGCCAGAAGCCAUGAGGUGUGACAGCUCUGGUACCUGCUAAAGCAGCUCAGAGAUGGCUGAAGAGUCUCCCGCAAAGCAUUGGCACUGGUUUCAGGAACGGAGGUCACAGUGAUGGUCAAGGUGCCCUGAGCCCUUAUUCUGUUCAAUUGUAUUCCUCGUCUCCAUCAAUCCGUGCAACAGCCUUUCAGAUAGAUACCGUUACUGACCCAUUUGACAGAUGUGGAAACUGAGGUCACGCCUCUAUCAAAGGAGAGCCGGGAUUUGAACAAAGUGCCCUGAUUUCAGCACCACGCUUCGAACCACGGCACCCUACAGUCUGACACCCAGCUGGCCUGAGACUCCGUGGGAAGUGCUUUAGGGAAGAGGUGGAUGUGUCACUCCCCUCUCUGAGCCUUCAUUCCCUGAGGCCCGCAAAACAGGGGUGAAGCACGAAGCUCACCUCAGCUGGGUUGUCCGUUUGGGGGAUAAAAUGAGAUAAUCCAAGUGACCUGUCCAGCAAGAAGCCUGGAAUCCAGAAAGGGAUUUUUUAACUCAAGGAUGAAUGAAUAAAUAAAGGAGCUUUAUAGAUGUUA